AUACGGAGGGUGCAAGCGUUGUCCGGAUUUAUUGGGUUUAAAGGGUGCGUAGGUGGUUUUUUAAGUCAGUGGUGAAAGCCUACAGCUUAACUGUAGAGGUGCCAUUGAAACUGGAAGACUUGAGUAUGGACGAGGUAGGCGGAAUUUGUGGUGUAGCGGUGAAAUGCAUAGAUACCACAAAGAACACCGAUAGCGAAGGCAGCUUACUGGACCAUAACUGACACUGAGGCACGAAAGCGUGGGGAGCGAACAGGAUUAGAUACCCUAGUAGUCC
Molecule: ribosomal RNA, 274 nt
Filed under: uncultured bacterium
Lineage: Bacteria
Description: partial 16S ribosomal RNA
Rfam family: Bacterial small subunit ribosomal RNA
Source: RNAcentral